GAUAAAAAACUAUUUAUUAAAUAUUAAUGACAAUGACAGAAAUACCCCACAUACUUAACUAAGAUUAUGCUGUUGUUUUAUUCAAACAUUAUAGCUGUUUGAUAAAAAUUUCAGAAUCAGUUCAUUAUCCGUUGUCAUCAUUGCCCAGAAUUAAUUUGAACUAAACAUGAGAUAAAAAUUCCGUAAUCAACUAUUAUUUCAGAGAAACUUUUCAACAAUUCUUCAAACAUUUAUAGUUAUCUUCAAUCCUCCUUUCCAACACUUUAAAAUUUAAUGAAGAAGGCAUUUGACGAAUAGCUCUCUCAUAUUAUCUUUGUGGCGAUAAAACAACUCCAACUUCAGUACGUUUUCGACGAGAAUCAAGCCUGUUUGCUUCUUCUCAAUGGCAGAUAAUCCAUCUAGCUUUUCUAGUUCCUCUUGUACAUCAUUGCACUUUCUAGCUAGCUCAACCUGCAUCAGUUCCUGUUCGACGACAGUUCACUUCGUAGCGCUUCUCCCAAGUUUGCAAAAACCUCCAUGAUUGGCUUCAAUCCAUCAAGUAGCUCCUUCCGACACUCGUCAAUUUAGCCUCAGCCUCGGCAACACGAGCUGCAUGUUGUGGCUUCUUUUGAGUUUAUUAUUCGAAGGGUUCAAUUAUUGGGCGAUGAGACUGAGUUUAACCUGGCUAGCCAGUCAAUAGAAAACAGAGCAACAACAGAGAGAAGGUAACUAAAAGGAAAGAAAGAGAUAUAGGUAUACUUUUCUUAGUUAGCUCUAGCUAGCUCUCCAUCAAAUCGUGAAUCACAAAAUGGGAUUGUUGGACUUUUUCAUAUUACUUAUCGGAGUUGUUUAUCAAUGCCAAGCCAGGACAUAAGCACAGGGCAAUGCAUGUCUGUAUUUUUUUAUCUGAAUUGUGAAAAUGGACUGCGAAGGCUGUGAAAGGAGAGUCUGAAGUUUUGUACUGCACAUGAGAGGUCUAUUCUUACUUUACUUCAGAUAUCCUUUAAUUACUAACUUGUUACAUAUUGAUAUGAAUUGUUGAUAUGCACCUUGUGUUUGUAACUUAACGAUCCAGGGGCGAAGUCAGUGAAGUAUUUGAACAACAACAAAAACAACCACAUAAUGCAAGUAUUUGAACCACAGAAUGCAAUAAACUUCAACAUCCGUAAUACAACAACAAGUAAUCAAAGUAAUACCUGAAUUGAGAAAAUUCGCAGUGACAGUAGAGUUGAGAAGGAAAUUGAUUUUCUAUAGAGUUUCUUUGUUUUGAUCUCUUCUCCUCUUCCGUCAAGAGGUAAACCUUAGUGAGCUGCGGAUCCUUACAAGGGGAUGGGGAUGAUUAGGGAUAUGACAAAUGAUGGUGCACGGGGAAGGGGAUGAUUAGGGAUCUAGACUAUACCUAAUCAGCUAUCUUGGUUGACCUCGAGACUGUGGAACGGACUUCGUCGAAAUUGGAAGUGACGCCAGAGUCACGAACACCGUCGCUUCCGGCUUCAGAGAGCUACGGAGGCGAUCAGAGAUACUGUGGAAAUCAGAUGGAGCUGCGAAGGUGGAGUUCGAAUUUCUCUCGCAUCGACGGCAGCUGUGGAAAUCAGAUUGAGCUUGACAUAAUAGGGUUUCGAAGUAAUAUAUAUCAAUGGCAAUUUUGUAAUAAUAGAUACCUACAAGGGCAGCGUGUAUAUUUUUUAGAUAGAAUCUCAAAAUUCGA
Molecule: long non-coding RNA, 1687 nt
Filed under: Linum usitatissimum (flax)
Lineage: Eukaryota; Viridiplantae; Streptophyta; Magnoliopsida; Malpighiales; Linaceae
Description: long non-coding RNA (LUSI_LNC003090)
Source: RNAcentral